GGGUCAGUAGGUUGGUCGUGCCACCGGUACGUACUGGUCUCACUGAUUCCUCCUUCCUGAAGAACCGUAAUGCCAUUAAUUUGGUGUUGCGGGGAAACAGGACUGUUACUUUGAAAAAUUAGAGUGUUUAAAGCAAGCUAACGCUUGAAUACAUUAGCAUGGAAUAAUGAAAUAGGACGAUCGAUCCUAUUUUGUUGGCUUCUAGGAUUGACGUA
This 215-nucleotide ribosomal RNA is filed under the name Glomeromycotina sp. RNAcentral's name for it is "partial small subunit ribosomal RNA". The stretch from base 40 to 215 matches the Rfam family "Eukaryotic small subunit ribosomal RNA", at positions 686 to 864 of the family's 1831-position model. The record is from RNAcentral. Lineage: Eukaryota; Fungi; Glomeromycota.